RNAcentral lists this unclassified non-coding RNA (205 nucleotides) under soil metagenome. RNAcentral's name for it is "partial contains 5.8S ribosomal RNA, internal transcribed spacer 2, and large subunit ribosomal RNA". The record is from RNAcentral.
AACAAGGCGUACCUGCGGACCUGCGGAGGGAUCAUUACCGAGUUUACAACUCCCAAACCCCUGUGAACAUACCUAUACGUUGCCUCGGCGGAUCAGCCCGCGCCCCGUAAAAAGGGACGGCCCGCCCGAGGACCCCUAAACUCUGUUUUUAGUGGAACUUCUGAGUAAAACAAACAAAUAAAUCAAAACUUUUAGCAACGGAUCU